AGUGGGGAAUAUUGCACAAUGGGCGCAAGCCUGAUGCAGCCAUGCCGCGUGUGUGAAGAAGGCCUUCGGGUUGUAAAGCACUUUCAGCAGUGAGGAAGGCGGGUACGUUAAUAGCGUGCUCGUUUGACGUUAGCUGCAGAAGAAGCACCGGCUAACUCCGUGCCAGCAGCCGCGGUAAUACGGAGGGUGCGAGCGUUAAUCGGAAUUACUGGGCGUAAAGCGCAUGCAGGUGGUUCGUUAAGUCAGAUGUGAAAGCCCGGGGCUCAACCUCGGAACUGCAUUUGAAACUGGCGGACUAGAGUACUGUAGAGGGGGGUAGAAUUUCAGGUGUAGCGGUGAAAUGCGUAGAGAUCUGAAGGAAUACCGGUGGCGAAGGCGGCCCCCUGGACAGAUACUGACACUCAGAUGCGAAAGCGUGGGGAGCAAA
RNAcentral lists this ribosomal RNA (427 nucleotides) under uncultured Vibrio sp. RNAcentral's name for it is "bacterial SSU rRNA". It matches the Rfam family "Bacterial small subunit ribosomal RNA", at positions 353 to 772 of the family's 1533-position model. The record is from RNAcentral. Lineage: Bacteria; Pseudomonadati; Pseudomonadota; Gammaproteobacteria; Vibrionales; Vibrionaceae.